GCGCAUGUGGUCUAGUGGUAGAAUUGAACGUUGCCAUCGUUUAGGCCCGAGUUCGAUUCUCGGCAUGCGCA
This is a transfer RNA of 71 nucleotides. It matches the Rfam family "tRNA". From Rfam's summary of the family: Transfer RNA (tRNA) molecules are approximately 80 nucleotides in length. Their secondary structure includes four short double-helical elements and three loops (D, anti-codon, and T loops). The record is from Rfam.